AAGGAUUUUUUUUAUACUAAAAUUGGAACAAUACAGAGAAGAUUGGCAUGGCACCUGCGCAAAGAUAGCAUGCAAAGGAUUUUGUU
Small nuclear RNA from Ochotona princeps (American pika), 86 nucleotides. The record is from Ensembl. Lineage: Eukaryota; Metazoa; Chordata; Mammalia; Lagomorpha; Ochotonidae.